RNAcentral lists this long non-coding RNA (254 nucleotides) under Lepisosteus oculatus (spotted gar). RNAcentral describes it as "lncRNA (ENSLOCG00000023248.1)". The record is from RNAcentral. Lineage: Eukaryota; Metazoa; Chordata; Actinopteri; Semionotiformes; Lepisosteidae.
CGUGACCCAUUUACUCCAUAAACCUCUCUUUCCAGGUUCACACAGGCGGUAACUAAAACGCACUUAAUCCACAAAAAGCAAAAGUUUCGGCACCAUUUACAAAAACAAGAGCCGAUGCUGAUAAUUUGGGAGCACAGAGAUCCUCCUAUAAGGCGCAGAUCCUUAGCCACAGAGCCACCGCUCCGCCAAGGGAACAUGCAUCAUUCCAGCCUCAAGGAGAGUAACUAAGAGAAAUUGCUAAUGCACCAGGUAAG